RNAcentral lists this ribosomal RNA (1298 nucleotides) under Vibrio parahaemolyticus. RNAcentral describes it as "bacterial SSU rRNA". It matches the Rfam family "Bacterial small subunit ribosomal RNA", at positions 88 to 1382 of the family's 1533-position model. The record is from RNAcentral. Lineage: Bacteria; Pseudomonadati; Pseudomonadota; Gammaproteobacteria; Vibrionales; Vibrionaceae.
GCGUCGAGCGGCGGACGGGUGAGUAAUGCCUAGGAAAUUGCCCUGAUGUGGGGGAUAACCAUUGGAAACGAUGGCUAAUACCGCAUGAUGCCUACGGGCCAAAGAGGGGGACCUUCGGGCCUCUCGCGUCAGGAUAUGCCUAGGUGGGAUUAGCUAGUUGGUGAGGUAAGGGCUCACCAAGGCGACGAUCCCUAGCUGGUCUGAGAGGAUGAUCAGCCACACUGGAACUGAGACACGGUCCAGACUCCUACGGGAGGCAGCAGUGGGGAAUAUUGCACAAUGGGCGCAAGCCUGAUGCAGCCAUGCCGCGUGUGUGAAGAAGGCCUUCGGGUUGUAAAGCACUUUCAGUCGUGAGGAAGGUAGUGUAGUUAAUAGCUGCAUUAUUUGACGUUAGCGACAGAAGAAGCACCGGCUAACUCCGUGCCAGCAGCCGCGGUAAUACGGAGGGUGCGAGCGUUAAUCGGAAUUACUGGGCGUAAAGCGCAUGCAGGUGGUUUGUUAAGUCAGAUGUGAAAGCCCGGGGCUCAACCUCGGAAUUGCAUUUGAAACUGGCAGACUAGAGUACUGUAGAGGGGGGUAGAAUUUCAGGUGUAGCGGUGAAAUGCGUAGAGAUCUGAAGGAAUACCGGUGGCGAAGGCGGCCCCCUGGACAGAUACUGACACUCAGAUGCGAAAGCGUGGGGAGCAAACAGGAUUAGAUACCCUGGUAGUCCACGCCGUAAACGAUGUCUACUUGGAGGUUGUGGCCUUGAGCCGUGGCUUUCGGAGCUAACGCGUUAAGUAGACCGCCUGGGGAGUACGGUCGCAAGAUUAAAACUCAAAUGAAUUGACGGGGGCCCGCACAAGCGGUGGAGCAUGUGGUUUAAUUCGAUGCAACGCGAAGAACCUUACCUACUCUUGACAUCCAGAGAACUUUCCAGAGAUGGAUUGGUGCCUUCGGGAACUCUGAGACAGGUGCUGCAUGGCUGUCGUCAGCUCGUGUUGUGAAAUGUUGGGUUAAGUCCCGCAACGAGCGCAACCCUUAUCCUUGUUUGCCAGCGAGUAAUGUCGGGAACUCCAGGGAGACUGCCGGUGAUAAACCGGAGGAAGGUGGGGACGACGUCAAGUCAUCAUGGCCCUUACGAGUAGGGCUACACACGUGCUACAAUGGCGCAUACAGAGGGCGGCCAACUUGCGAAAGUGAGCGAAUCCCAAAAAGUGCGUCGUAGUCCGGAUUGGAGUCUGCAACUCGACUCCAUGAAGUCGGAAUCGCUAGUAAUCGUGGAUCAGAAUGCCACGGUGAAUACGUUCCCGGGCCUU